AUGAUUAUUCGGCACCUCGAUCCGUUUUGCUGUCCAUCUGAGUUCCCACACUAUGUGAGCUGUGUGUCAAUAUCCAGGAGCAAACAACAGUCCAACUGACUUCCUCAGUGUCCUCCUGCUAAAUGUGUGUCUGCAUACUCAGCAUGAUGAUUAUUCGGCACCUUGAUCAGUUUUGCUGUCCAUCUGAGUUCCCACACUAUGUAAGCCAUGUGUGAAUAUCCAGGAGCAAACAACAGUCCAACUGACCUCUUCAGUGUCCUGCAGCUAAAUCAGUGUCUGUACUCAGGCCUAUUUAAGCCCAUCUGUCCACAUCCAUUCUCACACAUCGAAGUUUCCUUGACUGUUGAGCCGACUGCAUCUCUUCUGAGGCAUGAUGAUGAUGAUGAUGAUGAUGAUCUUCACUCUCUGCAGCCUGUCCCUCUCUGCCCAUGGUUUGGCUAUCCGUCCACCUUGGCGUCCUCAAUGACAUUGUGCCUCCACCAUGGCUACAAGACGAUUACCCUCCAGGAGAUUUUGGGCUUAAGGGCCUACCACAGCCACCAAGAAGUCUUGUGGUUGACUGUACUGUCUGGGAGGCUGAACCUGAAGAAGGUGUGGUGGAUGACAGCUGUGCCUUAAUGGAAGACCCUCUAUGCACCCUUGAUGGACACACUGAACAGAACGAGUGCAUGUUAUGCUUGGAUGUAGAUCAAGACCAUGUCAAGAUCGCCCAUUGGGGAGAAUGCAAAUGAGUCUAAACGCAAAGAGUCUGUCUGCUUGCUGCUUGCAGAGAUCAGAGUGUGUGAAACAGCUGAUCCAGUAUCUGCCAACGAAGCAGUAAGCCAAUAAA
Engraulis encrasicolus (European anchovy) is the source of this 829-nucleotide long non-coding RNA. RefSeq lists it as uncharacterized. The transcript has 6 exons. Lineage: Eukaryota; Metazoa; Chordata; Actinopteri; Clupeiformes; Engraulidae. The record is from RefSeq and is a predicted model, not a curated record.